AGUGAACGCUGGCGAUAGGCCUAACACAUGCAAGUCGAACGGCAGCACAGUAAGAGCUUGCUCUUACGGGUGGCGAGUGGCGGACGGGUGAGGAAUACAUCGGAAUCUACUUUUUCGUGGGGGAUAACGUAGGGAAACUUACGCUAAUACCGCAUACGACCUACGGGUGAAAGCAGGGGAUCUUCGGACCUUGCGCGAUUGAAUGAGCCGAUGUCGGAUUAGCUAGUUGGCGGGGUAAAGGCCCACCAAGGCGACGAUCCGUAGCUGGUCUGAGAGGAUGAUCAGCCACACUGGAACUGAGACACGGUCCAGACUCCUACGGGAGGCAGCAGUGGGGAAUAUUGGACAAUGGGCGCAAGCCUGAUCCAGCCAUACCGCGUGGGUGAAGAAGGCCUCCGGGUUGUAAAGCCCUUUUGUUGGGAAAGAAAAGCAGCAGGUUAAUACCCCGCUGUUCUGACGGUACCCAAAGAAUAAGCACCGGCUAACUUCGUG
This 492-nucleotide ribosomal RNA is filed under the name uncultured bacterium. RNAcentral describes it as "partial 16S ribosomal RNA". It matches the Rfam family "Bacterial small subunit ribosomal RNA", at positions 29 to 507 of the family's 1533-position model. The record is from RNAcentral.